AGCCACCGGUCGGGCCCCCAAGACCGGCUGACGUGGGCCUCGCCUCGGGCGACUCCCGCCGGGCUAGUGGCUGGCCGUGUGGUGACCUUGGGCGAGUUACUUCGCACAGCCACCCAGGGGCCUCUUCUCCAACACGAUAGCACUGCACCCGGAGGAUAAAGAACCACUGAGGAUAUGAGUUAUUCUUCCUACAGUUGUACAGCUUGUGAACAGUAGAGCUGGGGUCCGAGCCAGGUCUCUGACUCUGCAGCCUACCCUUGUCCUGCUUGAACACACUGAGGAAGACAGGAAUAACAGGACAUGGGUCAGAAGGCUUGGCUUCUGCUCCAGCUUUGAAGUUGAAGGAUUAGGUGACAGCUAACACUUGAUAGUAUUUUAUGGUUUCAAAGUGAUAACCAUGUAAUAUUUUAAUUGAUUCUCAGCCCAUUUUGUAGAUGAGGAAACUGAGGCUCACAGAUCUGAUGACUUCCUAAUUGUGGCAAACUACCAGCUACACAGUAGCUGGGCUGGCUUCGAACCAGGUCUUUUGACCCCAGAGUCUGUGCAGCUCACAAAUAAAGCUGAUUCUUUGACAAGUUAAGCCUCUUCUCUUGGAUUCAUUUUUCCAGUCUGUGAAAAUGAGGGAUUGGAUUAGAUUAGUAGGCAAUCACUAGUUCCCAGGCCCUUUUAUUUAAAGAAAAAAAGGAGAACCCAUAGAGUCUGGCAACUUAAACUUUUGCUAAGUAUGAACAC
RNAcentral lists this long non-coding RNA (732 nucleotides) under Homo sapiens (human). RNAcentral describes it as "HSALNT0291706". The record is from RNAcentral. Lineage: Eukaryota; Metazoa; Chordata; Mammalia; Primates; Hominidae.